UCAGGAUGAACGCUAGCGGCAGGCUUAACACAUGCAAGGUCGAGGGGCAUCGGGAGUAGCAAUACUUGCCGGCGACCGGCGCAAGGGUGCGUAACGCGUGAGCAACAUGCCCGUAUCAGGGGGAUAAUCCAUGGAAACGUGGUCUAAUACCCCAUAGUAAUUAUGUAAGGCAUCUUAUAUAAUUUAAAGCUUUGGUGGAUACGGAUUGGCUCGCGUGACAUUAGCUGGAUGGUAAGGUAACGGCUUACCAUGGCUACGAUGUCUAGGGGUUCUGAGAGGAAGGUCCCCCACACUGGAACUGAGACACGGUCCAGACUCCUACGGGAGGCAGCAGUGAGGAAUAUUGGACAAUGGAUGGAAAUCUGAUCCAGCCAUGCCGCGUGCAAGGAAGACGGCCCUAUGGGUUGUAAACUUCUUUUGUAUGGGAGCAAUAAGGCCUACGAGUAGGCUGAUGAGAGUACCAUACGAAUAAGCACCGGCUAACUCCGUGCCAGCCGCCGC
RNAcentral lists this ribosomal RNA (501 nucleotides) under uncultured bacterium. RNAcentral's name for it is "bacterial SSU rRNA". It matches the Rfam family "Bacterial small subunit ribosomal RNA", at positions 24 to 518 of the family's 1533-position model. The record is from RNAcentral.